RNAcentral lists this small RNA (26 nucleotides) under Bombyx mori (domestic silkworm). RNAcentral's name for it is "ovarian small RNA-7026". Lineage: Eukaryota; Metazoa; Arthropoda; Insecta; Lepidoptera; Bombycidae. The record is from RNAcentral.
UCAUACAACAUCAGUGUCAGUGUAUA